RNAcentral lists this ribosomal RNA (497 nucleotides) under uncultured bacterium. RNAcentral's name for it is "partial 16S ribosomal RNA". It matches the Rfam family "Bacterial small subunit ribosomal RNA", at positions 28 to 507 of the family's 1533-position model. The record is from RNAcentral.
GAUGAACGCUGGCGGCGUGCCUAAUACAUGCAAGUCGAGCGAACAGAUGAGGAGCUUGCUCCUCUGACGUUAGCGGCGGACGGGUGAGUAACACGUGGAUAACCUACCUAUAAGACUGGGAUAACUUCGGGAAACCGGAGCUAAUACCGGAUAAUAUAUUGAACCGCAUGGUUCAAUAGUGAAAGACGGUUUUGCUGUCACUUAUAGAUGGAUCCGCGCCGCAUUAGCUAGUUGGUAAGGUAACGGCUUACCAAGGCAACGAUGCGUAGCCGACCUGAGAGGGUGAUCGGCCACACUGGAACUGAGACACGGUCCAGACUCCUACGGGAGGCAACAGUAGGGAAUCUUCCGCAAUGGGCGAAAGCCUGACGGAGCAACGCCGCGUGAGUGAUGAAGGUCUUCGGAUCGUAAAACUCUGUUAUUAGGGAAGAACGAAUGUGUAAGUAACUAUGCACGUCUUGACGGUACCUAAUCAGAAAGCCACGGCUAACUACGUG